AAAAGAAGAAGAAAAAUAAAGAUAAACCCUAAGGAGAAAAGAAUUCUAUUUCUCGGCAGUCGCACGACCAUAUAUCUCAUGGUUUUCUCCUCAAACUGCGUCUUCGUGGCUUCCUCUCUCAAUCUCAUAUCUUUGAAGCUCUCUCAGAUCACUAUCUCUCACGGAGGGUUAUAAGAACGCGCAUCCCAGUCGCCUCCUUCACUUCUCCUUCAGCAAAAUACACAAUUGCGGUUCUCAAAUCUAUUCCUCCACUGCCAACAACAACGUCAAGGUCAUUCUGCUCUGAUCUUGUGUUAAAAGAUGUUAAAUUUCAAUAUUGCUGUCAUGGAAUUCUUUUAAAUGUUUGACGGAUGCAUAUGGGUUUUCUGUAAUUGUGGGUUUCUCUGAUAUGUAAUCUUUAUGAGUUGUUGGGUUUCGAUCUGUUGCGAUCAUAAUAUAUAAUUGAACAUAUCUUAAGCAUGUGAUUGUGUUCUGCUCUAGGUGGACUCCCAUGUUUUACUUAAUUGGUUAACCCAUCAAGUAUUGUGAUUGCUUUUGGAUUUCUCUUGAUGAUUUUGUGAUCUGGGUAUUUGAAAAGUUUUGAUAUUUCUAGUUAAUUCAAGUUGCAACACUUAACUGCAACCUCUGUUACAAUCAAUAGUGCAUUAUAAGAAUCGGAGCUUUUGUGCAACCUCUGUUUACUUAUGCUUUUGUGCAGGAAAGAGUCGGAGCAUUUCCAAAAUUUAGCUCAAGUUCAAGAUUCUAAGUAGCAGUGACAAAAUGUCGAAACGUCUUCGUUCUAAUGUUUCCAGUGCCCAAAAGGCUAAUGUUGGUGUCACUGUGACAAAACGGUUACGCGUACAAGCAAAUGAACCUUCACCCCCAACUUCUUUGCAAGAUGAACUUGAAGUUCCUGAUAUGCCUACCUCUAAUAGAACUACCCAAAGGGCUAUUGCUAGUACCAUUAUCCAAAGGCCUACUGUUGGCUGCACAAACAGGGGAGAUACUAAGUGCAAUUGAACACUUUCAAAUGGAGUACAAAAGCAUUAAAAAAGGUUGGGAUUUGGGAGCGAAAGAAUUAUGAGAUCAAAUGGUUAAGAUGCGAAUUGAGACAACUCUUCCUGAUGGGACUCGAACCAUGAAUGAUGAUGAAAUAUGCGCAAAGGUUCUUGGAAUAAAAUCAGGCUAUAUCAAGGGUUCUGGUUUUGGCCUUAGGCCUCCACCAUCUAGCACUUCUCGAUCAUCAAUAGAUGAAAUGUCUAAGAAGAAUAAAGAGUUAGAAGAUAAACUUGAAGAGACCCAAGAUACUAUAAAGGCUUAACAAGAAAAGAUUGAUGCACAAAACAUGCUGAUCCAAGAAUUGCAGGAGCAAGACAAAAAGUUUGAGGAGUUCAUGGCAACUUUUAUGAACCAACAAGUAUCAAGUUAGUUAUGCGCAUCUAGGAUUUAGUAUCAGUUAAACAAGUUCAUUGAUUUUUAGAUCCUUUUGAGUUCAGUAUUGAUUUUAGACUAUUCCAAUUAGUAGUUAUGGUAGACAACAUUAUGAAUUAUUAUUUUGUUUCUUGCUUAACUAGUUUUGAAUAAGAAUCCUCUUUUUAGAAUAAAA
This is a long non-coding RNA of Rosa chinensis, 1585 nucleotides long. RefSeq lists it as uncharacterized. The transcript is spliced from 5 exons. The record is from RefSeq and is a predicted model, not a curated record. NCBI's taxonomy places the organism in Eukaryota, Viridiplantae, Streptophyta, Magnoliopsida, Rosales, Rosaceae.